This 600-nucleotide ribosomal RNA is filed under the name Streptomyces siamensis. Its description in RNAcentral is "bacterial SSU rRNA". It matches the Rfam family "Bacterial small subunit ribosomal RNA", at positions 55 to 673 of the family's 1533-position model. The record is from RNAcentral. Lineage: Bacteria; Bacillati; Actinomycetota; Actinomycetes; Kitasatosporales; Streptomycetaceae.
AUGCAGUCGAACGAUGAAGCCCUUCGGGGUGGAUUAGUGGCGAACGGGUGAGUAACACGUGGGCAAUCUGCCCUUCACUCUGGGACAAGCCCUGGAAACGGGGUCUAAUACCGGAUAACACUCCCUCCCGCAUGGGUGGGGGUUAAAAGCUCCGGCGGUGAAGGAUGAGCCCGCGGCCUAUCAGCUUGUUGGUGAGGUAGUGGCUCACCAAGGCGACGACGGGUAGCCGGCCUGAGAGGGCGACCGGCCACACUGGGACUGAGACACGGCCCAGACUCCUACGGGAGGCAGCAGUGGGGAAUAUUGCACAAUGGGCGAAAGCCUGAUGCAGCGACGCCGCGUGAGGGAUGACGGCCUUCGGGUUGUAAACCUCUUUCAGCAGGGAAGAAGCGAAAGUGACGGUACCUGCAGAAGAAGCGCCGGCUAACUACGUGCCAGCAGCCGCGGUAAUACGUAGGGCGCAAGCGUUGUCCGGAAUUAUUGGGCGUAAAGAGCUCGUAGGCGGCUUGUCGCGUCGGUUGUGAAAGCCCGGGGCUUAACCCCGGGUCUGCAGUCGAUACGGGCAGGCUAGAGUGUGGUAGGGGAGAUCGGAAUUCCUGG